UUCAGGCAGCUUUCUUUCGUGUGACUGGAAGAGAAUCCUGCCAAAAUGUUCAAACCUACCAGUUCUUCUAAGAAACAUUCUUAAGAUGGUGUCCCACCUGCUGAAUAUUUGCAGCAUUUUGCCUUUUGUAUAUGAUUAUUCCUACGGUGUAUUACUUUGAAUCCGGUUAAUGAGUCAAGUUUCAAUUAAAGAUCUUUAAAUGUUUUAAUUUUAUGCAGAGCCUGGGGGAGGCACUUGGUGGCCAACAUGAUCCAACUGAAGAAGGAACACAGUCAACAGGCUGAAUGGCCUACUCCUGUGAUCAGUGGUUAGCACUGCUACCUCACAGAUCCAAGGAC
Molecule: long non-coding RNA, 338 nt
Organism: Hemiscyllium ocellatum (epaulette shark)
Lineage: Eukaryota; Metazoa; Chordata; Chondrichthyes; Orectolobiformes; Hemiscylliidae
Exons: 3
Source: RefSeq, a predicted model, not a curated record